Non-coding RNA from Arachis ipaensis, 228 nucleotides. The record is from RefSeq and is a predicted model, not a curated record. NCBI's taxonomy places the organism in Eukaryota, Viridiplantae, Streptophyta, Magnoliopsida, Fabales, Fabaceae.
AGUGGUAGAGGACUUAACUUAGGAAAUGGCUGAGCUACGGUAUCGAACUCUCAUCCCUAGACCUCAAGCUUCAUCUCUCCAAUUCAAUUGGCAGGAAUGGACCUUUGGUGGAUGGAUGGAAGUGGUCAAGGCCUAAUGGAGGGCAUGCAGGACUAACAUCAGCAUUGAAGACAUAAAAGAUUUAAACAAAACAAGGUAUACUCAAAACAAAACUACAUUUUAUUUUUU